UACGUAGGGUGCAAGCGUUGUCCGGAAUUAUUGGGCGUAAAGAGCUCGUAGGCGGCCUGUCGCGUCGGCUGUUAAAACUCGGGGCUCAACUCCGAGCUUGCAGUCGAUACGGGCAGGCUAGAGUUCGGCAGGGGAGACUGGAAUUCCUGGUGUAGCGGUGAAAUGCGCAGAUAUCAGGAGGAACACCGGUGGCGAAGGCGGGUCUCUGGGCCGAUACUGACACUGAGGAGCGAAAGCGUGGGGAGCGAACAGG
RNAcentral lists this ribosomal RNA (253 nucleotides) under uncultured bacterium. RNAcentral's name for it is "partial 16S ribosomal RNA". It matches the Rfam family "Bacterial small subunit ribosomal RNA", at positions 524 to 776 of the family's 1533-position model. The record is from RNAcentral.